GAGGAGGAGGAGGAGGAGGAGGAGGAGAGCACUGGAGCAAAGCGCGGGAAGCAGAGCGCGAGGGGGGGUCCGAGCGACGGUAGAGUGACGGUAGAGAGAGGGGUCCGGGGGGUCGGUGGGGGUCUGGCAAGGAGCGCGGGAUCCCAUUGGUUCGCAGCCGGGCCAUAUUAUAAGCGGUUGCAGUCCGCGCUAGUUAAUGUUAGCUCGAGCCUCCACGAGAGACGACGCAUCUCUCUCUCCUGUCCACCGUCGCUGUCGCCGUUGCCGCCGCCGUCGUUACUGCUACUACUACUACUGCUACUCUUCUACUACUGCUACUACUACGCGCGCACGUCUCCAAGUAGCGCUCAGAGUAUCGCGUACCGCGCGUAAGAGAGUACGAGCUUACUACGACACAGGCGCAGAGAGGGAGGAAGAAAAAAGUAAGAGUGUGAGAAGAAAGAAAGAUAGAGAGAGAGAGAGAGAGAAAGGAAGAAGGAGAGAGAUAACACGCGUUGUUGAUAAGACGCGCGCCUCAUCGGAGAGAUCCUUCCGCAAACACACACGCACGCACGCACACGCGCCCGCUCGAUUUCGAGUCCGCGAGAUUCGAGAAGCAACAGAAACUUCCCCCCCUGCGCGCGCGCGCGCGCGCGAACGUUCGUCGGUCCAGUGCUCGCGACGUUCAGCUAUUGUUCGGGGACGCAACGCGUGUUGUCACCGAGGAGCGGCGGCGAGUGAUCGAAAGAGUGAACGCGAAAAAAAAAAGAGAACGCGGGAAUUCUAAUUUCCGCCGGAGUUCCAGUUCGCGGGGAAAGAACGUGAGAGAAGAGAAGAGAAGAAGGCGCGAGAGAUAACGAGAAACGGACCAGAGAAAGGGACCCAGUUUCCUCUGGACCUAACCGAGAGAGGCGGGACCGAGAGGCAAGAGACCCAGGAGAUCCAGAAGCGCGUGAGAUAAAUCAAGGAGGGACCGAGUGCGCGAAAGCGAGGAAUAACGAAAUGAUGCAUUGGCAGCAGAACACCCAGUCAUCGUCCAACGACGAGAUCGCGAUGUAUCCGUCGGCCGCGUAUCAUUCCUCGUGUUCGACGCUACCGUCGUCGUCGUCGUCGUCAUCGUCGCUGUCAUCGUCGUCGUCGUCGUCGUCGUCGUCAUCGAGGUCGUCGCCCGCGAGAUCGUCCUCCCCCCUACUGGCGUCCGUCCUCGCGUGGUCACUGACGCUCCUGUUGAUCUCGUCCUGCAUUGGCCUGGGCGCGGACGCCGCCAGCCUAAGCGGCCACCCCCUGGGCAAAAGGUCGUUCUUCGACAUCCAAUGUAAGGGCGUGUACGACAAGAGCAUCUUCGCCCGUCUGGACCGCAUCUGCGAAGACUGCUACAACCUCUUCCGGGAACCGCAAUUGCACAUGCUUUGCAAGAAGGAAUGUUUCACCACGGACUACUUCAAAGGCUGCUUAGACGUUUUGCUGCUGACGGACGAGGUCGGAAAGAUCCAAAUGUGGAUCAAGCAACUCCACGGGGCUGAUCCCGGGGUUUAGCGGUGUUUGGAUCAAAAGCCACAAACGCAAGUACUUCAAAAAUUGAUAACAGGCGACAAUAAUUUUACAACAAUAUAAUUGGACAACGUGACGGCCGGAUUUAAAUAGCAAAUGCAUCAUCGAAUGUACCAACAGUAUCGUGUAGAAGAGAUUGAGGUUGUGAGCAAGAAAUAUCGUGAGUUGAUUGAAUUUCCAAUUAUGCCUUAUUUGAAUGCAUUUAUUAUAUUUCCCUUGCCAUUACUUUCAAUUAUAUUUUCGUUGCAUUUUCUCACCAUCUCUCCCCUGGACGAAUAUCCACGUGUAUUAUAGUAUCUUCGCACCGAGAUAAUGAGUAUGAGACAUUAGGCAAGACUGCUUCAGCACACAAUACUUCACGAGCUGCAUCCAAGCGCUGCUGCUUGAGGACGAGAAGGAAAGGUUGCAGGAGAUGGUCGAGUACCUAGGUCGCAAGAAGUAAACGGGACAUGGUCAGAGCAACGA
This 1995-nucleotide unclassified non-coding RNA is filed under the name Monomorium pharaonis (pharaoh ant). RNAcentral describes it as "ion transport peptide-like, transcript variant X4". Lineage: Eukaryota; Metazoa; Arthropoda; Insecta; Hymenoptera; Formicidae. The record is from RNAcentral.